GGCAAGAUGGCCGACAAAGGUGGUUUGUUGGCAAGGUCCGAGUUUCCACUUUAUGUUGUUAAAUCUUUAGACGAAAGACAUUUUCUUGUAGCUGGCGGUGGUGGGGCUGCAAAGACUGGUAUUGCUAAUGCAAUUGAGGUGUAUGAGGUGGAGCUUCAGGAUGGCAAACUACAAGCGGUCAGUAUCUGUAGACACGACACGGGGUCACAGGCCAUCAUGAACGGCUCCAACGUCUAUGAUGGAAGGAACCAUCAGUUUGCAGCAGGACUUGAUGAUGAAUGUCAUGUUUAUUCACUGAAAUACAAAGUUGUUUCUCCAAAGAAAAAACCUUCAGAAGAUGGAAAUUUACGAAAAAGGAAAGGAGAUACCUCUGAUGAUACUCCAAACAGCACUGGAAAGCAAAUCAUGUUUGAAAUUGACAAAAUCAAAAGUACUAAGACAGAUUUCAAUAAAGACAGCAGCUUUCAAAAGGUUGCCCAGAUCAGUCCAAAACGAAGUCUUAUAGCUACAGGAGGUACUGAUGGUUACCUCAGGGUGUGGAAGUUUCCAGAAUUGGAAAAAUUGUACGAAGUUCAUGGCCACAAAAAUGAUAUAGAUGAUAUUGAUAUUAGUCCACAAGGAGACAAGAUAGUGACAGUGUCCAGAGACCAUUGUGCCUGUGUGUGGAACUCUAAAGAUGGCAGCAAGAUCACCAAUCUCAAGUGGCCUCUACAGGCAGACGAACACAGAUACAGGUGUUGUAGAUAUGGUCUGAUAGAAGGAAAAAAGGACAAAUUUAACCUCUACACCAUCAGUAUACCUAACAAACGAUCUGCGCAGAAACCCCUUCCUUGUUUUUUAACAAUGUGGUGCAGUGAGAAAUUUACACCAAAACGUAUGGUCACUGCUGGAACAGAGGUCCUGUCAUGUCUGGCAGUGAGUGAUGACGGUGUGUACCUGGCGGUAGGAACAAUAUCAGGAAGUGUGGCUGUGUAUAUAUCCUUUAGUCUACAGAAAUUGUAUUAUAAGAAAGAGGCCCACAGUAUAUUUGUGACAGGAGUAGAAUUCAUGCCAAGUUCCGAGGGAACGCGAGAAGUGACAGGAAACCAGGACUUUACCUUAUUAAGUAUAUCGGCUGAUAACACUAUCCGCAUGCAUCAAGUAGCAGCCAGAAACUCCUACAGUGUGCUACUGAUUGUAUUGGGUGCUUUACUGAUUGUAAUCUUGCUGUUCAUGUUGCUCGGUGAGUACGGCAUCUGAGGAAAAAUGAUCUUCGUAUUUAAAACCCCAAGAAAAUCCUUGAAGUCACUGAAGGCCGGCGUAACUAAAGGCAGCUAGUAACCUGUAACCACAGGGCUGUGGAACUCGUGUAGUACUCCUGUAAUUCUGGAGCAUGAUUUGGUGUUGGUUUUAUUACUGGUUGACAUGUUGGUAUAUUUUUUUUAAGAAAAAACCUUUUGAUGUUUAAAGGAAGAAAUUAUAAUGUAACUGGUAUAAUUAUUAUAAUUAGUGCAAUCACUUUUUAAGAAAAUAUGUUUGUUGUGUAAAAGAGAAAAAAAAUUGGUAAUAUUACUGGUAUAUAAUGAUUAAUGCAAUGAAGAUUUAGAAGGGGGGUAAUGUUAUUGAUCUGGUGAUGUUUAACAGUAGGAUACAGGGAGUAAACAGAUGGUGGUUUGUGACCAGUGUCACACAGCCUGUAGGUUACAGGGUGUAGGUAACAGGGAACAUACUGUCUGGUGAUGUUUACCAGUAGGAUACAGGGAGUAAACAGAUGACUGACUGUUGACAAGUGACAUAUACCUGGGUACACAGACUGUUGAUUUGCAGAAAUAUACAAGUGUCCUAAAUAUUACUGGAAUCCAACAUCUACUCCACGGCCGUACAGCAAGGAUCUAGCAAAAGAUGUGCAAUAUGUUUUGUUAAAGGUGGUGUGCUGUUUAAACCCAAGUUUUCAUUCCAUUGUGUUUGACUGAUCUAGGUGAUAUGUAUUGUUGUGAAAUUUAACGUUCUGUCCAUACCAUCUUAAGAUUUUUUGUUACAUUUCUUAAAUAACAUCAGGCCUGAAUAUGUUAAAUGUUUUUAUUGCUUCCUUGAAUGUCCUGAUAGGAUUCAACUGAAAAAUUGAAAAUUAAAAUGACAAAUAAAAAAUUUGAACACUUUGACUGAUGUUAAAAUUACAAAAGGUCGAUAAACAUCAAAUCAGGUGGUUAUUUGUUCUACAAUUUAUUUAGCAAUGAAUAAGAUUAUGUUUUAAAUUUCCAUUUUACAAGCAAUUUGGAUCAGUGUAUAAAACUACAUUGUUUAUGGAAGCUAUGAGACAGGAGGUCAUGAAGCCAUGAAGGGUGUGAAGAUAUUGAUGGUAGUGUAUUUAACAAUGGUUUUUGUCACUACAUUGUUUAUAGAAGCUAUGAGACAGGAGGUCAUGAAGCCAUGAAGGGUGUGAAGAUAUUGAUGGUAGUGUAUUUAACAAUGGUUUUUGUCACUACAUUGUAUAUGGGGUGAAAGAUGUCAUUGAUGUGAUACCAAUGACACAAAAUGUGCUUUAGUUGAAGGUGAAAUGAAUGAUUGUGUAAACUGAGUCAGACAUAUUGUAAUCUAUUAAAAAGGAUACAAUAUAAAAUGGCUAGAAAUACUGUUUUCUGUAUGGUUUAGAAAUAUAGUUUGUUUAAUUUACUCUAUCCCCACUCAUCCCCUCUGCCUUCCCCCACUCCCUAUGUGGCUGUCCAGGGAGUUAGGUCUCCAACCAAGGGAGUUAGUCCACCAUUCCAGGGUGUUAGGUCUCCAACCAAGGGAGUUAGUCCUCCAUUCCAGGGUGUUAGGUCUCCAACCAAGAGAGUAAGUCCUCCAUUCCAGGGUGUUAGGUCUCCAACCAAGGGAGUUGGUCCUACAUUCCAGGGUGUUAGGGAGUUUGUUUGAGCAAAUUUCCUUCAGCUGUUUCUGUAAUUUAACAGAAAUGACUGCGCCAUUCACAUGUGAGGGCGGAGACUGUAUUCAAUGUUAAAUCCUCAGUCAGUUAGUUUAUCACUUGAGACAUCAGUGCAGACAAUAGCGAGAGCAUAGUUUCCACUUACAAUGUUGCUUUUUUUUUUUAGAUGUUUGAGCAUUUCGUAUCGGUAAGUUGAUGGAUUUCAGGAUUCAUCUUUACCACGAGUAAUAUACCUGGGCUUGGGGAACUAGAAACAUUCUAUAUCCCUGAAGCCUAUGAUUUAAUAUAUAAUAAUGUAUAUAGCUUAUUCUAUUUAUUAGGGAUUUGGGGUAGCAAUAUCUAUGUUGUAAAAUUAGAAUUAAAUUAACAUGAAAAUAUGAACUGUUUGACAUCAUUUUAACAAGUGCUGUAAGAUACAGUAACAAGUUUUGGAUGGUAAUUGCUGAAAGGUAACAUCAUAUUAACAUGUGGGCUUGGUUGAUGAUUCCUGCUUAUGGCGUUACCACACAUUCAGCUUAUUUUAUGUCUAAAGGAUGUUUUUAUAAUAGAUAAACUGAAAAAAUGUACAUGAUCUGUACUCCUUUUUCCGAUGAAAACAUAUAUUUCUUAUUGAAAAAGGUUAAGAUAGCAGGGGGACAGGAUUACCUGGGUAGCUGAUUGGUUAGGGGAUGGUUUAGAUAGCAGGGUUACUGGAUUACCUGAGUAGCUGAUUGGUUAGGGGAUGGUUUAGAUAGCAGGGGGACUGGAUUCCCUGGGUAGCUGAUUGGUUAGGGGGUGGUUUAGAUAGUAGGGGGACUGGAUUGCCUUGGUAGCUGAUUGGUUAGGGGGUGGUUUAGAUAGUAGGGGGACUGGAUUACCUUGGUAGCUGAUUGGUAAGGGGGUGGUUUAGAUAGUAGGGGGACUGGAUUACCUGGGUAGCUGAUUGGUUAGGGGGUGGUUUAGAUAGUAGGGGGACUGGAUUACCUGGGUAGCUGAUUGGUUAGGGGAUGGUUUAGAUAGUAGGGGGACCGGAUUACCUUGGUAGCUGAUUGGUAAGGGGGUGGUUUAGAUAGUAGGGGGACUGGAUUACCUUGGUAGCUGAUUGGUUAGGGGGUGGUUUAGAUAGUAGGGGGACUGGAUUACCUGGGUAGCUGAUUGGUUAGGGGAUGGUUUAGAUAGUAGGGGGACUGGAUUACCUGGGUAGCUGAUUGGUUAGGGGAUGGUUUAGAUAGUAGGGGGACUGGAUUACCUGGGUAGCUGAUUGGUUAGGGGAUGGUUUAGAUAGUAGGGGGACUGGAUUACCUGGGUAGCUGAUUGGUUAGGGGAUGGUUUAGAUAGUAGGGGGACUGGAUUACCUGGGUAGCUGAUUGGUUAGGGGAUGGUUUAGAUAGUAGGGGGACUGGAUUACCUGGGUAGCUGAUUGGUUAGGGGAUGGUUUAGAUAGUAGGGGGACUGGAUUACCUGGGUAGCUGAUUGGUUAGGGGAUGGUUUAGAUAGUAGGGGGACUGGAUUACCUGGGUAGCUGAUUGGUUAGGGGAUGGUUUAGAUAGUAGGGGGACUGGAUUACCUGGGUAGCUGAUUGGUUAGGGGAUGGUUUAGAUAGUAGGGGGACUGGAUUACCUGGGUAGCUGAUUGGUUAGGGGAUGGUUUAGAUAGUAGGGGGACUGGAUUACCUGGGUAGCUGAUUGGUUAGGGGAUGGUUUAGAUAGUAGGGGGACUGGAUUACCUGGGUAGCUGAUUGGUUAGGGGAUGGUUUAGAUAGUAGGGGGACUGGAUUACCUGGGUAGCUGAUUGGUUAGGGGAUGGUUUAGAUAGUAGGGGGACUGGAUUACAUGGGUAGCUGAUUGGUUAGGGGAUGGUUUAGAUAGUAGGGGGACUGGAUUACCUGGGUAGCUGAUUGGUUAGGGGAUGUUCACAUUGAUAAUUAAUCCUAUUCGUGGGUGCUACGAACCAGGAUAUAUGUAAACCAUAAAUACUCUACAGGGUCCUUUUAUCUUCACAAAUCAUGCCGUAAUUAUAUGAAAGCGCACUUAUUAAUCUAAAUAAUACAUGUAGAACUAGAUAUGUAGAUUAAUCAUUGCAUUUUGGUAUAUCGGUAACGUUUAUCUUACACACUUGUUUUAAAUUAUAUACUAUAGAAAUAGUACUAAACUCAGCCUAGGAUUUCAGGGACGUUCACAAUCACACAGGCUGUUCUUUUGAUAUUUUACAUAUAAAAUAUAAUCUGUCUUAUGCUGUGAAUUUUCAGAACACUUACCCAAUUUUAUUCUUAAAAGUCAAAGAUUGAUUUAUUUUUGACUGAAAUCUAGAUUGUCAUCAGACUCUACUAUGAUUUACUUCUGCUAUUUUUAUUUUUAUUUUAAUAGAGUUUCUACAAUAUUUUCUGACUUGAGUAGUAAGGGUGAAGAUUUGAUAAUAGUAAUAGUCUGUGUGACUUUAUGAGUGAACUAUAUGCAUUUGUAUAGUGGAUAUUUGGAUUGUUGUUUAUCAUUGAGCAUUUGGUUUAAGUUUCCAGAUUUGAGAGUGUUUCAUCAUCUGUCCAUAAUUAAAAAAAAAUGUCAAACAAUUGUCACAUGUAAAUGAUCUCAGCGUAUAUAUGUAUAGGUAGCCAAUGUAUUAUAAGUUCUUACACAACAAAGCUUUAUAAAAAAAAGAUCCGUUUUACAUUUGUAAUGAUGUGACCUUUACUGCUUUAUUGUAACCCUCGGUUAACGUAUAAAUCUUGACUUCAUAUAGUUUAGUGGAGUUACAAAUGAUAUGCGAUAUAAAAUGUGUCUUUAUUUUAAAUCAACCUAUUUCUAGGAAAAUCCACUUUGCUGGUCAGAGUAAAAAGUGUCUUUGUAAUAAUAAAUUAAAUCAUAGCUGUUUAUAUAUAUAGGUAGUGACCUAGUUUUGCAUUAAUGUGAAAGUAAGAAUUGUAAAUGUGAAAGCUAACCCUUAACAGUCAUUUGUGCAUCAAGUUUUUAUCUUGCAUUUGGGGAAAGGAGAAAAAUAUCAAAACAUUUGUAGACCAAUUUCCUUCUGUUGAAGCAUGCCCACUCCUGUUGAUGGUACAUAUGUAGUACAUGUAUAUUAUGAUAUUUAAAAUGGGCACAGAAAUUACCCGUAAUAUUUUUUAAGUGGAGCAAACUUGGUCAUAAAAACAAGUUAAAUUAACUUGGUUUUAUGAUCAAGUUAGUUCUUUCAAGAUUGAAAAGAUUAAAAAGUUUGAUAUAAAAGGUUUAAAAUUUGUUUUGUUCCGCUUGAUAUAUUGUAUAUAUUGUUUUAACUGAUGAUAUUUGCUUUUAAAACAUUCUCUAUGAAAGCGACGCUGAAAACAGGCAAGUUUUCCCCUGUAAUACAUGUUCUGUGUAUGGUGUCCUGAAUGUUGAAUGAAAAAUAUUUUAAAUGAGAUGUACCGGUAAUCUGUUACAAUGCUUUUACCAGAAUGUCUGGACGAAGUUAUACUUUGUGAAAAAAAUAUGUUACUCAUUUGAUGAAGUAGAUACUAUGUUGCAUUUUUUUUGUAUAUUUCCAUAUUUCAAAGAAAAUAACUUGAAUAUUGUAAUUUAUUUUAGUUUUAUUUGAACCUAAUCGGAAAGGCAAACGGCAUGCUUAUUAUGUGUCGGUGAAGGUGAAUGUAUUAUAACUUUGUAGUUCAGCAGAACUGAAAUACGAUAUCUGGAAUGUUACAGAAAACGAGCUUUUCAUGUCUUCUUUAAACUUAAGUUUUAUCAAAGGUACACAAAUCAACUGAUUAUUUAUUUUCCCUUAUGAGCCAUUUUUGGUUCCUGGGCAUCAAUAUUAUCUUAUUAUAUAUUUUUUUAAGAAAAAGUUUGUGAUCCCAAUGACUUUAAUAAAAAAAACAACAGAAAGAGGCAAUUUUAUGGCCUACAGAAGUUUGAAAAUUGAUUUUAAGAUUUCUUUUUGAAAAUUUGAUUUUAAGAAAUUGUUUCAAUCGCCAGUCUUCAGUCUAACUUGGGGAUCACAAAGAUGUAUGACUGUUUCUGUUGUAUUGGGUGCCUGAGCAGUGUACAGGUACUGAGCAGUGUACAGGUACUGAGCAGUGUACAGGUGCCUGAGCAGUGUACAGGUGACUGAGCAGUGUAAAGGUGAGAUUUAAAUCCUAGGAGGAUAACUGAUUUGAAUGAUGUUGAAAUUCUGUCUGUCGUGCGUCUGUGAUACCGGUUUUAGGGAUAUUAUUAGUAUUUGUACUUUUAUAUGUUAUCUAUUUUCAUUGUUAUUAUAUCAUGCUAUUCAUUUAUCAUGGUGAACUCCUCAUAUUAUUAAUUUUAUUAAUUUCAUCACCAGGAAUCCUCAGAUUUAAAGGAUAACUGUAGCAGGAAAGAGAGUAGUGUGCUUCCUCUGGGGAUUAAAACAGCAGCCCCCAACUUCUCAGUCCGCUGCUUUCUAUAAUAGGAAGCUAGAAGACGAUUGCAAUUGUAUAAAUGCCAAUGACCAUAUCGUGUAUGUAAUGUUGGUCUCACAGAAAUUGUUUACAAAUGACUCGGUGUUAUUUAAGUAGAUACCUGGUAUGAUCACAUAUUUCAUGGUACAAUAAUGGAAAGGUGGCAUAUUCCAAAUUUUAUUUUUCAGUUCUGAUGAUAUAACUGAGUAUACAUCUAGACCAUGUGAUGUUUAUUCUGUGGUAAAUCUCUCCAGUUUUGUAGUACUGGUUCACCAAUUCUGUCAUGAUCACUGCCAAUCUUAUAUGAUGUCACAGAUAAUUAUGUGCAACAUGUGCUAUGGAGAUAAAUCAUUACGUAAACAAA
Molecule: unclassified non-coding RNA, 7635 nt
Filed under: Mizuhopecten yessoensis (Yesso scallop)
Lineage: Eukaryota; Metazoa; Mollusca; Bivalvia; Pectinida; Pectinidae
Description: prolactin regulatory element-binding protein-like, transcript variant X1
Source: RNAcentral